CAGGGAGACAACAAAAUGCUCAAUAUUAUUAUUUUGUCACCUUAGGUCGAUCGGUAUCUCACGUUUUUAAUUUAUUAAGAAUUUCAUUUCCUAAGUUUUUCUAGGUCACACCCAUUAUUUUUCCUGGGCCAUUAGCUCAGGUGGUUAGAGCGCACCCCUGAUAAGGGUGAGGUCCCUGGUUCAAGUCCAGGAUGGCCCAUCUCUCUAUGUUGGGGGUAUAGCUCAGUUGGUAGAGCGCCUGCUUUGCAAGCAGGAUGUCAGCGGUUCGAGUCCGCUUACCUCCACUGAUUACCACCUCUUCCAUAAUCUGUAGAAAGGAAAUGUUUUGAGUUGUGAUCAAUUUCUGAACGAAUCUAGCUUCCUAAUGUAAUCAUUAAGAUGCUGGACUCAUUGAAUUAAUUUCUUUGUUUUCAGAGAACCUUGACAACUGCAUAGAUUAUUUUUAAAGACAAUAAGCAUCUUUAAUGAUGCAGAUUUAUUAUUUGUGCGAAUGCAUUAAUAACAAUUCUAUUAAGCUGAUGCUUCAAUUUUGAAGUUAUU
This 540-nucleotide transfer RNA is filed under the name uncultured cyanobacterium. RNAcentral's name for it is "partial 16S-23S ribosomal RNA intergenic spacer". The stretch from base 212 to 284 matches the Rfam family "tRNA". The record is from RNAcentral. Lineage: Bacteria; Bacillati; Cyanobacteriota.